GUUUCCCGUAAGGCGCCGAAUGAGUCAUUAAAAAAUUAACAUCAUCCGAUCCCUAGUCGGCAUAGUUUAUGGUUAAGACUACGACGGUAUCUGAUCGUCUUCGAUCCCCUAACUUUCGUUCUUGAUUAAUGAAAACAUCCUUGGCAAAUGCUUUCGCAGUAGUUAGUCUUCAAUAAAUCCAAGAAUUUCACCUCUGACAAUUGAAUACUAAUGCCCCCAACUAUCCCUAUUAAUCAUUACGUCGAUCCUAGAAACCAACAAAAUAGAAUCAAACGUCCUAUUUCAUUAUUCCAUGCUAAUGUAUUCAAGCGCGAGCCUGCUUUAAACACUCUAAUUUUUUCAAAGUAACAGUCCUGAUUCCCCAAGACACCAAAUUAAUGACAUCGAGGUUCUUCAGAAGGUAGGAAUCGAUAAUGCCAGUACGUACCAAGGCACGACCAACAUAUUGAUCCCGAAAUUCAACUACGAGCUUUUUAACUGCAACAACUUUAAUAUACGCUAUUGGAGCUGGAAUUACCGCGGCUGCUGGCACCAGACUUGCCCUCCAA
RNAcentral lists this ribosomal RNA (548 nucleotides) under uncultured Glomeromycotina. RNAcentral describes it as "partial 18S ribosomal RNA". The record is from RNAcentral. Lineage: Eukaryota; Fungi; Glomeromycota.